GAUGAACGCUGGCGGCGUGCUUAAUACAUGCAAGUCGAGCGAACAGACUAGGAGCUUGUUCCUCUGACGUUAGCCGCGGACGGGUGAGUCACACGUGGAUAACCUACCUAUAAGACUGGUAUACCUUCGGGAAACCGUAGCUAAUACCGGAUAAUAUAUUUACCCGUAUGGUUUUAUAGUGAAAGACUGUUUUUCUGUCUCUUCUCGCUGGAUCCGCGCGUGAUUAGCUUGUUGGUAAGGUAACGGCUUACCAAGGCAACGAUGCGUAGACGACCUGAGAGGGGGGUCGGCCGCACGGGAGGUGGAACGCGGACAAGGGGCCUGAGAGAGGGAGCAGAAGGGAAUGGGAGGCAGUGGGCGGAAGCAUGACGGAGCGAGGGAGAGCGAGAGAUGAAGAUCUGCGGAUAGGAAAAAUGUGUUAUGGGGGAAAAACAAAUGUGAAAAGAAAAAAGCACGAAGUGACGGUACCUGAUCAAAAAGCAACGGCUAACUACGUG
RNAcentral lists this ribosomal RNA (497 nucleotides) under uncultured bacterium. Its description in RNAcentral is "partial 16S ribosomal RNA". It matches the Rfam family "Bacterial small subunit ribosomal RNA", at positions 28 to 507 of the family's 1533-position model. The record is from RNAcentral.